Molecule: ribosomal RNA, 253 nt
Filed under: uncultured bacterium
Lineage: Bacteria
Description: partial 16S ribosomal RNA
Rfam family: Bacterial small subunit ribosomal RNA
Source: RNAcentral
UACGGAGGGUGCAAGCGUUGUUCGGAAUUAUUGGGCGUAAAGGGUGCGUAGGCGGCUUGUUAAGUCCGGGGUGAAAGCCCACAGCUCAACUGUGGAACUGCCUUGGAUACUGGCAAGCUUGAGUCCAGACGAGGUUGGCGGAAUGGAAGGUGUAGCGGUGAAAUGCAUAGAUACCUUCCAGAACCCCGAUUGCGUAGGCAGCUGACUAGGCUGGUACUGACGCUGAGGCACGAGAGCGUGGGGAGCGAACAGG